This is a non-coding RNA of Salmo salar (Atlantic salmon), 54 nucleotides long. Lineage: Eukaryota; Metazoa; Chordata; Actinopteri; Salmoniformes; Salmonidae. The record is from Rfam.
UGUACUCGCUACAGUAAGUCGCUCUGGAUAAGAGCGUCUGCUAAAUGACUAAUA